AGAGUUUGAUCAGGGCUCAGAUUGAACGCUGGCGGCAGGCCUAACACAUGCAAGUCGAGCGGUAGAGAGGUGCUUGCAUCUCUUGAGAGCGGCGGACGGGUGAGUAAUGCCUAGGAAUCUGCCUAGUGGUGGGGGAUAACGUUCGGAAACGGACGCUAAUACCGCAUACGUCCUACGGGAGAAAGCGGGGGAUCUUCGGACCUCGCGCCAUUAGAUGAGCCUAGGUCGGAUUAGCUAGUUGGUGAGGUAAUGGCUCACCAAGGCGACGAUCCGUAACUGGUCUGAGAGGAUGAUCAGUCACACUGGAACUGAGACACGGUCCAGACUCCUACGGGAGGCAGCAGUGGGGAAUAUUGGACAAUGGGCGAAAGCCUGAUCCAGCCAUGCCGCGUGUGUGAAGAAGGUCUUCGGAUUGUAAAGCACUUUAAGUUGGGAGGAAGGGUAGUAACCUAAUACGUUGCUACUUUGACGUUACCGACAGAAUAAGCACCGGCUAACUUCGUGCCAGCAGCCGCGGUAAUACGAAGGGUGCAAGCGUUAAUCGGAAUUACUGGGCGUAAAGCGCGCGUAGGUGGUUCAGCAAGUUGGAUGUGAAAGCCCUGGGCUCAACCUGGGAACUGCAUCCAAAACUACUGAGCUAGAGUACGGUAGAGGGUAGUGGAAUUUCCUGUGUAGCGGUGAAAUGCGUAGAUAUAGGAAGGAACACCAGUGGCGAAGGCGACUACCUGGACUGAUACUGACACUGAGGUGCGAAAGCGUGGGGAGCAAACAGGAUUAGAUACCCUGGUAGUCCACGCCGUAAACGAUGUCGACUAGCCGUUGGGAUCCUUGAGAUCUUAGUGGCGCAGCUAACGCAUUAAGUCGACCGCCUGGGGA
This 876-nucleotide ribosomal RNA is filed under the name uncultured Gammaproteobacteria bacterium. Its description in RNAcentral is "bacterial SSU rRNA". It matches the Rfam family "Bacterial small subunit ribosomal RNA", at positions 8 to 879 of the family's 1533-position model. The record is from RNAcentral. Lineage: Bacteria; Pseudomonadati; Pseudomonadota; Gammaproteobacteria.